RNAcentral lists this ribosomal RNA (253 nucleotides) under uncultured bacterium. RNAcentral's name for it is "partial 16S ribosomal RNA". It matches the Rfam family "Bacterial small subunit ribosomal RNA", at positions 524 to 776 of the family's 1533-position model. The record is from RNAcentral.
UACGGAGGGAGCUAGCGUUGUUCGGAAUUACUGGGCGUAAAGCGCACGUAGGCGGCUUUGUAAGUCAGAGGUGAAAGCCUGGAGCUCAACUCCAGAACUGCCUUUGAGACUGCAUCGCUUGAAUCCAGGAGAGGUGAGUGGAAUUCCGAGUGUAGAGGUGAAAUUCGUAGAUAUUCGCAAGAACACCAGUGGCGAAGGCGGCUCACUGGCCCGAUGCUGACGCUGAGGCACGAAAGCGUGGGGAGCAAACAGG